This 465-nucleotide ribosomal RNA is filed under the name uncultured bacterium. Its description in RNAcentral is "partial 16S ribosomal RNA". It matches the Rfam family "Bacterial small subunit ribosomal RNA", at positions 338 to 795 of the family's 1533-position model. The record is from RNAcentral.
CCUACGGGAGGCAGCAGUAGGGAAUCUUCCACAAUGGACGAAAGUCUGAUGGAGCAACGCCGCGUGAGUGAAGAAGGGUUUCGGCUCGUAAAGCUCUGUUGGUAGUGAAGAAAGAUAGAGGUAGUAACGGGCCUUUAUUGGACGGUAAUGACUUAGAAAGCCACGGCUAACUACGUGCGAGCAGCCGAGGUGAUACGUAGGUGGCAAGCGGUGUCCGGUUUUAUUGGGCGUAAAGGGGGUGCAUGGGGGUCAAUAGGUCUGAUGUGAAAGCCUUCGGCUGAACCGGAGAAUUGCAGCAGAAGCUGUUGAACUUGAGUGCAGAAGAGGAGAGUGGAACUCCAUGUGUAGCGGUGGAAUGCUUAGAUAUAUGGAAGAACACCAGUAGCGAAGGCGGCUCUCUGGUCUGCAACUGACGCUGAGGCUCGAAAGCAUGGGUAGCGAACAGGAUUAGAUACCCGGGUAGUC